This is a long non-coding RNA of Mus musculus (house mouse), 891 nucleotides long. RefSeq annotates it as RIKEN cDNA 4931440J10 gene. Lineage: Eukaryota; Metazoa; Chordata; Mammalia; Rodentia; Muridae. The record is from RefSeq and is marked predicted. The transcript has 7 exons.
GCGGGCCACCGGGUCCGGGUCACCACCGGGGCUGGGUUAGUCGGUACCUUCAUGAAGGUCUCUACCGCGCCUUUGGCCGUGUCCAGAUCAUAAUAGUGAUACUGAGAACAACAACAACAAAAUUAACAAGCAUAAAAUUGGAUAUGAAAUUAAACAAGGUUGCAAUUGCUGCAAGGCUUUUUUUGCCAGGCUUUCCUGUAUGACUCGGAACUGUUUACAAUCACCUCCUCCCUCUCCAGGAGCUAUGGAGCAAAUGAAUGGAGCUAGAAAAUACGUCAUCCUGAGCAAGGCAACCCAGACCAAAAGACAAGUAUGCUCUGGGGCUCACACGUGUUAGCUGAGCACCUGCCACUGAGCCCUCAGCCUCAGAUACUGUUAACUAAGGCACAACAGAGGUAAAGGUGAAGUGUUUUCCUAAGGCUCUAAGGUGUCCCAGGCUCCAGUGAAAGUUUUGAGGGAGGGAAAGUGGUCUCUCUACUUCAUGAAGUCAGAGCAGAUCACACCUACAACGAGGAGAACACAAUUUGGAUGAAGAGGAAACAAGAACAAAAGCUGUCACAGAGAGUUAAAGGGAGUGACUGCAAAGUGUGGAGCCGGUGACUUGGCCACACUUUGAUGAAGUGGCUGCGGGUCUUCUCUUCAUUGUUUACACAAGCCAUUAGAGCAUCUUCUCACGGAAACCAUUUGACUCUGCAGUGUUGCUGCUUUGAGCUGACAGAGGAUGGAAAGUGGUCCCUGCAAUGAGAACAGGGUCUGCUGCGGAGACACAGAAAGUUCUUAAAGUAUUUGGUCACCUUAGGAUGUGACAUUAUCUAUUAUUGCUUUGAAAAGACUACAGUAGCUGUUCUGUGGGUGGCUUGGAGAGAACAAGGCUGGACCAGUGAGAAACUC